UCAAAUUUAAAGUUUUAGAGAUACCAUAUUAAAAUUUUAGACAGAGAAACUAUCUCAAAUCUUAAAUUUUAGAUAGAGAAAGUAUUUGAAAAUUUUAGAUAGAUAUACUACAUUAAAUUUUAGAGAGAGGAACUACUUAAAAUUUUUUAGAGAGAAAAUAUCUCAAAAUAUUUAGAUAAAGAAACUACCAAAAAACUUUUAGAGAGAAAAACUGUCUCAAAUUUUAAGUUUUAGAGAGAGAAAAUAUCUUAAAAUUUUAGAGAGAAAAACUAUAUCAAAUUUUAGAUAGAGAAAGUACAUGAACUAUUUAGAGGGAGAAACUAUUAAAAAAGAUUUAGAUAGAGAAACUAUAUCAAAUUUUAAGUUUUAGAGAGAGAAAGUAUAUCAAAAUUUUAGAGAGAGAAACUACCUGAAAAUUUUAGAGAGAAACUAUAUCAAAUUGUAAGAUUUAGAGAGAGAAACUAUCAAAUUUUAGAUAAAGAGUACCUAAAAUUUUUAGUUGAAAAUUUUUAGAUAGAAAAACUAUUUCAAAUUUUAAGUUUUAGAGAGAGAAAGUAUAUUAAAAUUUUAAAGAUAAACUACCUCAAAAUUUUAUAGAGAGAAACUAUAUCAAAAUUUAAGUUUUAGAGAGAGAAAGCAUCUUACAAUUUUAAAGAGAGUAACUAUAUCAAAUUUUAGAGUGAGAAAGUACUUUAAAUUUCUUAGAAAAAGAAACUAUCUUAAAAUUUUUAGAAAGAAACUAUCUCAAAUUUUUAAUUUUAUUUAGAGAAAGUGCCUUAAAACUUUAGAGAGAGAAAUUAUAUCAUAUUUUAGAGAGAGA
RNAcentral lists this long non-coding RNA (820 nucleotides) under Amborella trichopoda. Its description in RNAcentral is "long non-coding RNA (ATRI_LNC002756)". Lineage: Eukaryota; Viridiplantae; Streptophyta; Magnoliopsida; Amborellales; Amborellaceae. The record is from RNAcentral.